This 497-nucleotide ribosomal RNA is filed under the name uncultured bacterium. RNAcentral's name for it is "partial 16S ribosomal RNA". It matches the Rfam family "Bacterial small subunit ribosomal RNA", at positions 28 to 507 of the family's 1533-position model. The record is from RNAcentral.
GAUGAACGCUGGCGGCGUGCCUAAUACAUGCAAGUCGAGCGAACGGACGAGAAGCUUGCCUCUCUGAUGUUAGCGGCGGACGGGUGAGUAACACGUGGAUAACCUACCUAUAAGACUGGGAUAACUUCGGGAAACCGUAGCUAAUACCGGAUAAUAUUUUGAACCGCAUGGUUCAAAAGUGAAAGACGGUCUUGCUGUCACUUAUAGAUGGAUCCGCGCUGCAUUAGCUAGUUGGUAAGGUAACGGCUUACCAAGGCAACGAUGCAUAGCCGACCUGAGAGGGUGAUCGGCCACACUGGAACUGAGACACGGUCCAGACUCCUACGGGAGGCAGCAGUAGGGAAUCUUCCGCAAUGGGCGAAAGCCUGACGGAGCAACGCUGCGUGAGUGAUGAAGGUCUUCGGAUCGUAAAACUCUGUUAUUAGGGAAGAACAUAUGUGUAAGUAACUGUGCACAUCUUGACGGUACCUAAUCAGAAAGCCACGGCUAACUACGUG